CAUUGAAAUACCGGUUCCUGUAUGAACCCCAAAGUUAAGCAAUGUUAAGCCUGGUCAAUAACUAGAUGGGUGGCCGCUUGGGAAUACCAGGUGCUAUA
Molecule: non-coding RNA, 98 nt
Organism: Acanthosepion pharaonis
Lineage: Eukaryota; Metazoa; Mollusca; Cephalopoda; Sepiida; Sepiidae
Source: the annotation of a GenBank genome assembly